CUACAAAUUAAAUACAUUUAUUGAG
This 25-nucleotide small nuclear RNA is filed under the name Mnemiopsis leidyi (sea walnut). Its description in RNAcentral is "partial spliced leader precursor". The record is from RNAcentral. Lineage: Eukaryota; Metazoa; Ctenophora; Tentaculata; Lobata; Bolinopsidae.